AUGCAAAAUAUAGAUAAAAAAACCAUUUGUCACGGAGUGUCACGGUAGAAAUUCUGAAAUCAACGCUGUAAGAUAUUGCCACACCACGAAACCACCAGGUUCUGGCCGGAUCGAAUCACAUUUUAUACGUAUGACGACACUAUGGAAAAAUUUUCAUUUAGAUUGUUUCGUAUUUCUCGUCAAUUGCAAGGAGAGAGAGUGACGCAAGAAAAUUGAAAGGUGUAAGUAGCUCUGACUAUACCUCGUCCGGCAAUCCAAAUCUCCUAUACAUUCACAAAAAAGAACCCGUGUGUCAAGGCUGCUUUCCGACUACGCCUUUCUUUGAACAACUUCCCCCGGAUAAUAAUAUCUUGUGAAAACAAAAUUUAUUCUAGUUCCCGACCAGUAGUAUUUUACGACUAUCGUUGUUGUAUUCGUUCAUUCAUGACGACAGAGAAAAUAACAUUUCUAAAAAUAUUAGCGAAAACUUGUGGAAAGUCGAACCAAUUUUUUUGUGGCAAGGCUACCACGUCUUGAGGGAUGGGUUAUUUCUCAAAAUGUCUCCUUGGUUCGCCUUGACUAAUCUAGCGUAUUUCCUAUGCUAAUUAUACGCUAAAACCAUUAUCAUUUGAGGAAGCGGGCAUUCCAAACUGAGGGUGAAACAAAUAACCCUUUAUUGGACCUUGAAUCGAACAUCUUUCUCUCCUUUCAAUCCAAGGCUAAAACGUGAUUCAUCAAUAUGUAACGGAAGAACUAUUUUCGAUGAUUCACGAGAACAUUUUUUUUUCCUCUUCAGAUUUUAAUUUACAAAGUCAGAAUGCAUUGGCUUUCACGUCAUCUUGAAUGUGUAUUCUCCAUACAGCCAACUUUCCGGUUGUGUUAUUUAUUCAUCACCGCUUAGGUGACUAAUACAGCAGCAGCAAGGACGCAAAAAGAUUAAAUUCUUGGCUAAUGUGCAACAUGACACAAGUUUCAGAAUCGGGGAAAAUAAUUGGGACACGUGAAGAUCGACGGAAAAGAAAGUAAACAAAAGAUGUAGAAAGCUUUCACGCCGUAAAAAUAGUAAGGUUUUCACGCGUGCGGAAUUAUUUGUUCUAGACAUACGAAAUUGAUUUCUUUUCAUUCGUG
This is a long non-coding RNA of Daphnia pulicaria, 1107 nucleotides long. RefSeq lists it as uncharacterized. The record is from RefSeq and is a predicted model, not a curated record. NCBI's taxonomy places the organism in Eukaryota, Metazoa, Arthropoda, Branchiopoda, Diplostraca, Daphniidae. The transcript has 2 exons.